AUGGCAAAGGAACUGUCCGCCAAGCGUCACCAUGGCGAGACGUCGAACAAGAGCAGCAACCUCGUCGACAUUCACGUCCCCGGUGAGAAGCGCGAGUACACCAGAACGCUCAAAGGGGUUGAGCUCCACGGCAAGGAGAUGCUGGAGAUCGUCUGCACCAGCGUACCGGACAAGGCCGACGAGGUGAUGAGCAGGCUCAGGAUGAAGGGCGGCGGCUUGUAUCCGAGCUUCAUCGGAGUUGAUGUGGAGCCCAAGCGCCUCAAAGACUUCCUGCAGCAGGAGAAAUUGUACACAUUUGUCGGUUUCAGCAUUGGAGGUGACAAGCAGAUGCUAGACAAGUCUGGUUUGGAGAUCAACCCCAACAACUUCAUCGACAUGCAACGCAAGUGGAAAGAUCCCAAGACCAACAAAUACUACGACUCCUUGGACGAUGUUGCAGGCGGCAUCAUCCACCCAUUCUACAACGGCAUGAAGAAUAAGAUGGUCAGGGCAGACCACAAACUGUGGGGGACUAGCCUGCUGCCAGACAACCUCAUCACGUACGCAGGAAUAGAUGCGUACGCAACGUACAAGUCAUGGAAGACAAUUGACAACAUCGUGACAGGUUGGGAUAUUUCAAAAGAG
Molecule: ribosomal RNA, 624 nt
Filed under: Triticum aestivum (bread wheat)
Lineage: Eukaryota; Viridiplantae; Streptophyta; Magnoliopsida; Poales; Poaceae
Description: partial small subunit ribosomal RNA
Source: RNAcentral